UACGUAGGGGGCAAGCGUUAUCCGGAUUUACUGGGUGUAAAGGGAGCGUAGACGGCGAUGCAAGUCUGAAGUGAAAGGCGGGGGCCCAACCCCCGGACUGCUUUGGAAACUGUAUGGCUGGAGUGCAGGAGAGGUAAGUGGAAUUCCUAGUGUAGCGGUGAAAUGCGUAGAUGUUAGGAGGAACACCAGUGGCGAAGGCGGCUUACUGGACUGUAACUGACGUUGAGGCUCGAAAGCGUGGGGAGCAAACAGG
Molecule: ribosomal RNA, 253 nt
Filed under: uncultured bacterium
Lineage: Bacteria
Description: partial 16S ribosomal RNA
Rfam family: Bacterial small subunit ribosomal RNA
Source: RNAcentral